UACGAAGGGGGCUAGCGUUCUUCGGAAUUACUGGGCGUAAAGCGCACGUAGGCGGAUAUUUAAGUCAGGGGUGAAAUCCCAGAGCUCAACUCUGGAACUGCCUUUGAUACUGGGUAUCUGGAGUAUGGAAGAGGUGAGUGGAAUUCCGAGUGUAGAGGUGAAAUUCGUAGAUAUUCGGAGGAACACCAGUGGCGAAGGCGGCUCACUGGUCCAUUACUGACGCUGAGGUGCGAAAGCGUGGGGAGCAAACAGG
RNAcentral lists this ribosomal RNA (253 nucleotides) under uncultured bacterium. Its description in RNAcentral is "partial 16S ribosomal RNA". It matches the Rfam family "Bacterial small subunit ribosomal RNA", at positions 524 to 776 of the family's 1533-position model. The record is from RNAcentral.